AUUGAACGCUGGCGGCAGGCCUAACACAUGCAAGUCGAGCGGAUGAAGGGAGCUUGCUCCUGGAUUCAGCGUCGGACGGGUGAGUAAUGCCUAGGAAUCUGCCUGGUAGUGGGGGAUAACGUCCGGAAACGGGCGCUAAUACCGCAUACGUCCUGAGGGAGCAAGUGGGGGAUCUUCGGACCUCACGCUAUCAGAUGAGCCUAGGUCGGAUUAGCUAGUUGGUGGGGUAAAGGCCUACCAAGGCGACGAUCCGUAACUGGUCUGAGAGGAUGAUCAGUCACACUGGAACUGAGACACGGUCCAGACUCCUACGGGAGGCAGCAGUGGGGAAUAUUGGACAAUGGGCGAAAGCCUGAUCCAGCCAUGCCGCGUGUGUGAAGAAGGUCUUCGGAUUGUAAAGAACUUUAAGUUGGGAGGAAGGGCAGUAAGUUAAUACCUUGCUGUUUUGACGUUACCAACAGAAUAAGCACCGGCUAACUUCGUG
This 484-nucleotide ribosomal RNA is filed under the name uncultured bacterium. RNAcentral's name for it is "partial 16S ribosomal RNA". It matches the Rfam family "Bacterial small subunit ribosomal RNA", at positions 30 to 507 of the family's 1533-position model. The record is from RNAcentral.